AUCAAGAGCUGCCAACAGCUAGGCCCAGUGAAAUGUGGAAAUCACUCAUGUCUUCCUACCUUGUAAUAAGCCUAACCUCUUAGGUUAUUUCCUGGCCUCCCUUCUGUGACCUUUGACCAAGGCCAACCUUUAGCUGGAGAAUGUGACAUUUUGUUCUCCUCUGGCUGACAUGUGAUGCUCUCAUUAUUCAAAGAUUAUCUCCUUUUGAUAUCUCUGCUUAGAGGAAUACAGAAUGUGGCCACAUGUUACUCUUCUACCAAUGUCAGGAUAAAGCAUGCAUUAGGAUCCCUCAGUGGAGAACUAUGUCCAUUCCAUGCUCCUUCCAACUAGUUUGAGAAAUGGCUCCAAAUUUUCCUUAAUAUUAUUCUGAAUUGCUCUAUGAAGUAAAUGUCAGGCAUUUUAUUUCCAUUUCCCUAAAAUAGAGAAUGGGUUGCUAGGGAAAAUGCCUAAGCCAGCCAUAAAGCAUUUCCAAAGGGAGGACAUAGUGAAUAAAAAAUGUUAAUUCCUGUCUUGUUUAACAAGCUCUCAUGGCAGCUCCAAGGGGUAGUAAAAUUUAUACUCCUACCAGGACAGCUCUAGACUAUGGCAUCAGCAUGGGAUGGAAAGUAGCCCUGGGAAACAGAAUAGUGUGGUUGCCUGCUACCCUUUACUUAUCUGAAUAGUUUGUCUCUGCUGUGCCCAGGAGGUUUGCACCUCAUGGGGUGGGAGGUGGUGCAAUCAGGUAAGAAUGCUCUUUACUUACUCCUUUGUCGGAAAAAGGAUGACUGUAAUGUGUGGGCUGGAGUGGAGUGGAACUGAGUUUAAAAUCUGCAGUAACAUAAAAUUAAAGACUAGGUAUUAACAAUGGCUUUGCACUCUGAGUUGCCAUGGGCUGAGAGGGACAGCUGGACAGCCAGAGGGAUUCCAGAGGGACUUGGCAGGACAGAGCAGUGUAAGCCAUCUUACUGCCUCGAAAAACACAGUGAACAACUUACAGGUUAAAAAACAAACCCAAAGAGAUUAUUUCCUGCAAAGAGCCUUUAGUAUGGUAGCACCUACUUCUAGAAGGCCUGUCAUAAACUGUCAUCUAGUGAAAGUGAUGAAGAAGAGUGGCUGGGAGUCAAUCUUAUCAGGAGCUGGAACAGGUGAAGCCCUCACCAGUGAAAAAUCUUGACAGAUGCAGCUACUAAGAUUUCCUACUACAAAGAAUAACAGCAGUUAGAAAAGCAGACUCCCUGUGGUGGCGACCAGUAUCUUCAAACUCAUACCAGAGUAAAGCCUUAUCCAUUUGGAGUUCUUUCUGAUGCAUUAUGUGAGAAAAACAAGCAAACAAAUGAACACUUAUUUGUAUUUGAAUUGCACUAAAUUUAUACAUGAAACUGAAAAAAACUGAUAUCUUUAUGAAGCUGCAUAAUCCUAUCCAAGGACAGACGUCUCCUUCCAUUUGAGCCAGCUCUUCUUCAGGAUAAGCAUGCCUGGUUUCUUCAACUUAUUCCACAAGAGUGAACAAGUAAG
This 1494-nucleotide long non-coding RNA is filed under the name Homo sapiens (human). RNAcentral describes it as "HSALNT0271180". The record is from RNAcentral. Lineage: Eukaryota; Metazoa; Chordata; Mammalia; Primates; Hominidae.